CUAACACAUGCAAGUCGAACGGUAACAGGAAGCAGCUUGCUGCUUCGCUGACGAGUGGCGGACGGGUGAGUAAUGUCUGGGAAGCUGCCUGAUGGAGGGGGAUAACUACUGGAAACGGUAGCUAAUACCGCAUAAUGUCGCAAGACCAAAGAGGGGGACCUUCGGGCCUCUUGCCAUCGGAUGUGCCCAGAUGGGAUUAGCUUGUUGGUGGGGUAACGGCUCACCAAGGCGACGACCCCUAGCUGGUCUGAGAGGAUGACCAGCCACACUGGAACUGAGACACGGUCCAGACUCCUACGGGAGGCAGCAGUGGGGAAUAUUGCACAAUGGGCGCAAGCCUGAUGCAGCCAUGCCGCGUGUAUGAAGAAGGCCUUCGGGUUGUAAAGUACUUUCAGCGGGGAGGAAGGGAGUAAAGUUAAUACCUUUGCUCAUUGACGUUACCCGCAGAAGAAGCACCGGCUAACUCCGUGCCAGCAGCCGCGGUAAUACGGAGGGUGCAAGCGUUAAUCGGAAUUACUGGGCGUAAAGCGCACGCAGGCGGUUUGUUAAGUCAGAUGUGAAAUCCCCGGGCUCAACCUGGGAACUGCAUCUGAUACUGGCAAGCUUGAGUCUCGUAGAGGGGGGUAGAAUUCCAGGUGUAGCGGUGAAAUGCGUAGAGAUCUGGAGGAAUACCGGUGGCGAAGGCGGCCCCCUGGACGAAGACUGACGGUCAGGUGCGAAAGCGUGGGG
RNAcentral lists this ribosomal RNA (729 nucleotides) under uncultured Pseudomonadota bacterium. RNAcentral describes it as "bacterial SSU rRNA". It matches the Rfam family "Bacterial small subunit ribosomal RNA", at positions 48 to 766 of the family's 1533-position model. The record is from RNAcentral. Lineage: Bacteria; Pseudomonadati; Pseudomonadota.